Molecule: ribosomal RNA, 301 nt
Filed under: uncultured bacterium
Lineage: Bacteria
Description: partial 16S ribosomal RNA
Rfam family: Bacterial small subunit ribosomal RNA
Source: RNAcentral
CAGCAGCCGCGGGAAUACGAAGGGUGCAAGCGUUAAUCGGAAUUACUGGGCGUAAAGCGUGCGUAGGCGGUUUGUUAAGUCUGUUGUGAAAUCCCCGGGCUCAACCUGGGAAUGGCAAUGGAUACUGGCAGGCUAGAGUGUGUCAGAGGAUGGUGGAAUUCCCGGUGUAGCGGUGAAAUGCGUAGAGAUCGGGAGGAACAUCAGUGGCGAAGGCGGCCAUCUGGGACAACACUGACGCUGAGGCACGAAAGCGUGGGGAGCAAACAGGAUUAGAUACCCCGGUAGUCCCUGUCUCUUAUAC